CUUUGUAGUAUUAUACACAUGCCACGUACUCUAAUACUUUGAGGUGGUUUGUGUUAGUCUAUGGACACCAUUAGUUCAUAUAAAUUGUGUGUAUAGUGGGGAAGUUCUAAGGAAUUCCUUAGUGUCCAGAUGGGCUGUCCUCUUGACGGAAGAUUGCAACAACACUUGAGAUCCAUUAGUAAAGUACACAGAGGAAUGGCUUCUCUACCAGCAGUGCACUCACCAUCCAAUAGAGACAGUAUUAACUGUAGACAGAACUGCAAGAAGUCAGAUAAGGUCACCUAUAGCUUCUAAAUACAUAUGUACAUCAAGGAGCAAUGGAAAUAAGGUAUUAAAGCACUCCCUUUCCAUUUUAGGUGGUAAAAAGGUGACAAUAAACAAAGCAUUUAUUUAGAAAGAAGAAGGAGGGAUAGGCAUAAUGUUAGCAGGACGCAAAUUUUGCAAAAUCUACUAAGAUUCCAUUUUGUGGGUUUUAAUGUCACGAAUUCUACCACAUGUGCCAUGCAGAUAGUAAAGUCUCACAAAAAGGGAGAUAGGGAGCAUUGUAGACUUGCGAUGGCUUUGGCUGCUCUUUUAUUCUAGCAUGGGCUUUUGAAACUGUUUGUGUCCUGAAUUUUCAUUCUCACUAUCGAAAUAACAAGAAGCAAGUGAUAGAGGAUAAACUGCUCAAUCAAGUUAACAUUAUCACUGUUCCUAUUGAUUAUUACUCUCUCCCUGCAAAUGAAGCAGACAAUUCUUUUUGAGCCAAUAGAAGAUGAAGAGGGUCCCAUUGCAGAAGAGCAGCAGUUGUCCAUUAAAACUAUCCUUGAUUUAAGGAAAGCAAUAGGAGAGGCUUCUUUUAUUAAAGUUGGUGAUGAUGAAGGACUAACUUGUUAUUGUGCUAGUUGGGGACAUUGAGUGUACGUGUCAUUUAAAUGAAACUACCGCAUAGUGGGUAUAUUCCAUCUGAGUUCAAUUUCGUUCUUUUUGUUCUCAUUUCUUGUGGAAUGAAUUUUUUCCAAAUGAAAAA
This 1009-nucleotide long non-coding RNA is filed under the name Amphimedon queenslandica. RNAcentral describes it as "uncharacterized LOC109588696, transcript variant X2". Lineage: Eukaryota; Metazoa; Porifera; Demospongiae; Haplosclerida; Niphatidae. The record is from RNAcentral.